This 28-nucleotide unclassified non-coding RNA is filed under the name Mus musculus (house mouse). RNAcentral describes it as "oocyte_clustered_small_RNA7304". The record is from RNAcentral. Lineage: Eukaryota; Metazoa; Chordata; Mammalia; Rodentia; Muridae.
AUCUCACUCAGGAUCAUAUACUCUAGAU